This 211-nucleotide long non-coding RNA is filed under the name Salvator merianae (Argentine black and white tegu). RNAcentral describes it as "lncRNA (ENSSMRG00000002596.1)". Lineage: Eukaryota; Metazoa; Chordata; Lepidosauria; Squamata; Teiidae. The record is from RNAcentral.
CCUGGGGCCUCGCUAUGGAUCAGGGGAACCAAGGCAUUUCCUCCACACCAGUGAACCUCAUUCAGCAACCAAUAGCUCAACAGUCAGGCAUGAUGAUUCUUCAGCAGCUGUCUUGGUCUCCAUCCACGCUUGUUCCAUCUAGCAGGACAGGUCGCAUAAGGGAAGAUUUAAUGGAGCUCAUGAUGAUACAAAAUGCCCAGAUGUACCAAGU